RNAcentral lists this ribosomal RNA (150 nucleotides) under uncultured Glomus. RNAcentral's name for it is "5.8S ribosomal RNA". It matches the Rfam family "5.8S ribosomal RNA". Rfam says of the family: 5.8S ribosomal RNA (5.8S rRNA) is a component of the large subunit of the eukaryotic ribosome. It is transcribed by RNA polymerase I as part of the 45S precursor that also contains 18S and 28S rRNA. Functionally, it is thought that 5.8S rRNA may be involved in ribosome translocation. The record is from RNAcentral. Lineage: Eukaryota; Fungi; Glomeromycota; Glomeromycetes; Glomerales; Glomeraceae.
UCACUUUCAACAACGGAUCUCUUGGCUCUCGCAUCGAUGAAGAACGUAGCGAAGUGCGAUAAGUAAUGUGAAUCGCAAAUUCUGUGAAUCAUCGAAUCUUUGAACGCAAAUUGCACUCUCUUCGGAGAGUAUGCCUGUUUGAGGGUCAGU